This 506-nucleotide ribosomal RNA is filed under the name uncultured bacterium. Its description in RNAcentral is "partial 16S ribosomal RNA". It matches the Rfam family "Bacterial small subunit ribosomal RNA", at positions 29 to 523 of the family's 1533-position model. The record is from RNAcentral.
AGUGAACGCUGGCGGUAGGCCUAACACAUGCAAGUCGAACGGCAGCACAGGAGAGCUUGCUCUCUGGGUGGCGAGUGGCGGACGGGUGAGGAAUACAUCGGAAUCUACUCUGUCGUGGGGGAUAACGUAGGGAAACUUACGCUAAUACCGCAUACGACCUACGGGUGAAAGCAGGGGAUCUUCGGACCUUGCGCGAUUGAAUGAGCCGAUGUCGGAUUAGCUAGUUGGCGGGGGAUAGGCCCACCAAGGCGACGAUCCGUAGCUGGUCUGAGAGGAUGAUGAGCCAACAUGGGACUGAGACAAGGUCCAGACUCCUACGGGAGGCAGCAGUGGGGAAUAUUGGACAUGGGGCGCAAGCCUGAUCCAGCCAUACCGCGUGGGUGAAGAAGGCCUUCGGGUUGUAAAGCCCUUUUGUUGGGAAAGAAAUCCAGCUGGCUAAUACCCGGUUGGGAUGACGGUACCCAAAGAAUAAGCACCGGCUAACUUCGUGCCAGCAGCCGCCGUAA